This 460-nucleotide ribosomal RNA is filed under the name uncultured bacterium. RNAcentral's name for it is "partial 16S ribosomal RNA". It matches the Rfam family "Bacterial small subunit ribosomal RNA", at positions 338 to 795 of the family's 1533-position model. The record is from RNAcentral.
CCUACGGGUGGCAGCAGUGAGGAAUAUUGGUCAAUGGACGAGAGUCUGAACCAGCCAAGUAGCGUGAAGGAUGACUGCCCUAUGGGUUGUAAACUUCUUUUAUAUGGGAAUAAAAUGUUCCACGUGUGGGAUUUUGUAUGUACCAUAUGAAUAAGGAUCGGCUAACUCCGUGCCAGCAGCCGCGGUAAUACGGAGGAUCCGAGCGUUCUCCGGAUUUAUUGGGUUUAAAGGGAGCGUAGGUGGAUUGUUAAGUCAGUUGUGAAAGUUUGCGGCUCAACCGUAAAAUUGCAGUUGAAACUGGCAGUCUUGAGUACAGUAGAGGUGGGCGGAAUUCGUGGUGUAGCGGUGAAAUGCUGAGAUAUCACGAAGAACUCCGAUUGCGAAGGCAGUUCACUGGACUGCAACUGACACUGAGGCUCGAAAGUGUGGGUAUCAAACAGGAUUAGAUACCCGAGUAGUC